Molecule: ribosomal RNA, 429 nt
Filed under: Chloroflexota bacterium
Lineage: Bacteria; Bacillati; Chloroflexota
Description: Chloroflexi bacterium partial 16S ribosomal RNA
Rfam family: Bacterial small subunit ribosomal RNA
Source: RNAcentral
UGGGGAAUAUUGCACAAUGGGCGCAAGCCUGAUGCAGCCAUGCCGCGUGUAUGAAGAAGGCCUUCGGGUUGUAAAGUACUUUCAGCGGGGAGGAAGGCGAUAAGGUUAAUAACCUUGUCGAUUGACGUUACCCGCAGAAGAAGCACCGGCUAACUCCGUGCCAGCAGCCGCGGUAAUACGGAGGGUGCAAGCGUUAAUCGGAAUUACUGGGCGUAAAGCGCACGCAGGCGGUUUGUUAAGUCAGAUGUGAAAUCCCCGGGCUCAACCUGGGAACUGCAUCUGAUACUGGCAAGCUUGAGUCUCGUAGAGGGGGGUAGAAUUCCAGGUGUAGCGGUGAAAUGCGUAGAGAUCUGGAGGAAUACCGGUGGCGAAGGCGGCCCCCUGGACGAAGACUGACGCUCAGGUGCGAAAGCGUGGGGAGCAAACAGG